CCCCUCCUUCCAGGCUCCUGGUCACAGUGCUGUGUUCACUUCAGACUGAGCCACCAGCUGUUCUCCACAUAUUCUGGGCUGAACCUUUAUUUACAGUCCCACCUUGUCUGGAAUACUCCUUUUACCUGUCAUUACCAGGAAUGUCAUUACUCAUCUUUCAGAUGUCUGUCUGCGGCUCUGUCCCACGCUCUGUGGUCUCCUGCGCCCUGUGGCUGUCCCUGACUCUUGAGGUGAGCUGGCUGCUGCACACAGCACCUUUCAGAGGCUCCACCAGGCCUUGGCAAACGGCCUUCCAGCGCGGGCCAUACCGACAUCCUCCAGAGAGGGCGCCCGAGCAAGGGACAGUCAGGAAAGACCCUUCAUCACUCCCGGUCUCCUCCGGUCUUCUGCUUCACUUCCCAGAUGAUGGGGGCUGUGGGGACGGCGGGGCACCCGGGAGCUGCCCACGGCACCUGGGUGCAGACCUGGUGAGAAGGACUCAGUGGACAGUCCUGGGUAUGAGCAGCACCCCUUCCCCUGCCAGCCCAAAGGGAUGCCGGCUCGCCCUGAUGAAUGUAACCGUAUACUGCAAACACGCACUAUUAAGAUUAAAACUGAAAUUAAACAAGAACGAGAGUGACAAGGUCACCAUGCCUGUGCCCACCUGACCCCCACACUCAAAUGCACAGUCACAGCUGUGCACACUGCACGCAUCACACAUACGUGCCACAAGACACCCCCACAGCACAUAUACACACACUCUGUACUAUACAGACACACUGCGUAUAAACCAUGCACAUACCACACACAUCACAAGCACCCCAUAUGGACACACUACAUACCAUACAUGCAGACAAACUAGUCAUACCACAUGUAGCACCUAUAUACCAAAUGUAGCACACAUACUACACAUAUGCACAUCACCACAUAUACAUACAACAUACAUAUACCACAGAGCACCACACACCCCACCCCGCAUACGAUGUCACACACAUACCACGGACCAUACACUAUAUACACCUCACGCAACACAUAAACACAUCACACAUCAAACACUCCACUACACAUGCACACCACAGACAGCGUAUACACACACAUACACCACACCAGACACAGCAUGUGUACCACAUAGGCACCAUAGGCCACACACCAAACACAUAGCACACAUACCAUGAAUAGACACACAUAUACUACUCAUACUUCAUACUACGUACACAAAACAUAAAGCAUAUGCAUACACAUAUACACCAAACACAGUACACACACACACACACACACACACACACACACACAAAC
Heterocephalus glaber (naked mole-rat) is the source of this 1275-nucleotide long non-coding RNA. The record is from Ensembl. Lineage: Eukaryota; Metazoa; Chordata; Mammalia; Rodentia; Bathyergidae.